This 29-nucleotide non-coding RNA is filed under the name Mus musculus (house mouse). Lineage: Eukaryota; Metazoa; Chordata; Mammalia; Rodentia; Muridae. The record is from RNAcentral.
UCAUUCAUGAUCAGGGUCCAAGUCUUUGC